RNAcentral lists this long non-coding RNA (42753 nucleotides) under Elaeis guineensis (African oil palm). Its description in RNAcentral is "long non-coding RNA (EGUI_LNC003774)". The record is from RNAcentral. Lineage: Eukaryota; Viridiplantae; Streptophyta; Magnoliopsida; Arecales; Arecaceae.
GAAAAGUCAUGUACCCCGACUGACUGGCGAACAUUGUGCUGGUCAAAAAAAAGAAUGAAAAAUGGCGCAUGUGCAUCGACUUCACUAACUUAAACAAAGCCUGUCCUAAGGAUAGCUACUUGUUGUCUUGGAUAGACCAGCUGGUGGAUGCUACUUCUGAAUAUGAGCUCCUCAGCAUCAUGGAUGCCUUCUCUGAUUACAAUAAGAUCUAGAUGGUGCUUGAAGAUAAGAAGAAAAUGGCCUUUGUUACUGACCGUGGACUUUAUUGUUACAGGAUGAUGCCCUUUGGUCUAAAGAAUGUAGGGGCCACCUAUCAGUGGUUGGUGGAUAAAAUUUUCAAAAAUCAGCUCAGCCAUAAUAUGGAGGCAUACGUGGAUAACAUGUUUGUUAAGAGCCAAGCUGCUCCAGACCAUGUUGCUGACCUCCGGAAGACUUUCGACACCUUCCGCCAAUUUUAAAUGAAGUUGAAUCCGAUGAAGUAUGCCUUUGGAGUUACUGCUGGUAAAUUUCUUGGGUUUGUGAUCUCACAAAGAGGUAUUGAAGCAAAUCCAGAGAAGAUCAAGGCUGUCUUUGAGAUGAUGCCACCAAAGACCAUCGAAGAAGUAUAGCGUCUUACUGGUAAGACCGCUUUGCUCAACUACUUUGUUUCUAGGUCGGUCGAAAGGUGCCUCCCUUUCUUUCAAGUCCUCAGACAGCCAAAAGAUUUUCAGUGGACUGUCGAGUGUUAGAAGAUAUUUGAGGAGUUGAAGCAGUAUCUUAGCUCUCCAUCAUUGCUCUCAAACAGCCUGGUGAGAAGUUACUGUAAUACGUCGCCAUCUCUCCAAUGGCGAUCAGUUUAGUCCUUAUCCUAGAGGAAGGAUGGAUUCAGAAGCCUAUAUACUACAAUAGCAAAGUCUUUCACAAUGCAAAGACCAGAUACUUCAAGCUUGAGAAGCUAAUCUUUGCACUGGUUGUUAUAGCGAGGAAGCUAUGGCCUUACUUCCAAACUCACACUGUAGUACUGCUUACGGAUCAAUCGAUCAAGAUCAUUCUCCACCAUGUAGAUAUCUCAGGGUGGGUUGCAAAAUAGGCUCUCGAACUUGCUGAGUUGGAUGUGUAGUACCAUCCAAGACCUGCUAUUAAAGCUCAAGUAUUGGCGGACUUCAUACUAGAAUGCACCAUCCCAAACGAGCAGAGCUCGAGGAAUGGAGAAGGCUCAAAAAGUGAAGAGGCAGAAUUAGUAUCUGACCUAGAGGAGCUAUGGAUGCUGCAUGUCGAUGGCUCGUAAAAUGUAAUAGGGGCAGGGCUGAGCUCAUUUUGAUCAGUCCUGAAGGAGAUGUUGUGGGGUACAUCUUAUAUUUUAAGUUUCUAACAACCAACAAUGAAGCAGAGUAUGAGGCUCUAAUUGUCGACCUCAAAAUAGUGAGAGAAGCAGGGGCCCUAUACCUUAGAGUCUUCAAUGAGUCCUAGCUGACGGUUGGACAAAUCAGGGGCGAACAUGAGGCUCGAGAGGAGAAUAUGAAGAAAUAUCUUCAAACGACAAAAGAUUUAACCUCGAUCUUUUUGAGUUUUGACAUCUAGCAGGUUUCUAGAGCAGACAAUGCUAGGACAGAUGUACUAUCGAAGCUAGCAGCCUUGUUGCCCUCUGACUUGAAGAAUGGGACCUAUUUCGAGAUACUGAAAGCCUCGAGCCUCGAGGAGCCUCUCGUCAUCCAGUAAGUUGAUGAAAAAUCCUAUUGGAUUGAUCCCUUACUCAAGUAUCUUAGGUUAGGCAAACUACCUAUUGACUGCAGGAGGCUUAAAAGAUAAGGAAGCAAGCAGCUUGCUAUAUUCUAUACGAUGAUAAGUUGUACAGGUGAUCAUUCUCUUUGCCCUUGUUAAAAUGCUUGUGUCCGUUCGAGGCUGAUUACGCAUUGCGGAAGGUCCACGAAGGAAUUUACGGAAGACACUUGGAGGGUAGGUUCCUUUCUUAUAAAAUCUUUCGGUAGGGCUAUUAUUGGUCCACUAUGUAGCAAGAUACAGGCGUCUUUGUCAGAAAGUGCAAUCGAUGUCCGAGAAUCUUCAAUAUUCAGCAUCUACCAGUAGCACUUCUGACUCCCAUCAGCACCCCAUAGCUGUUCGCUCAGUGGGGGAUGGAUAUUCUCGAUCUUUUUUCUCUCAUGUCUGGUCAAUGCAAGUUUCUUCUGGUUACCAUCAACUACUUUACAAAGUGGAUCGAAGUCGAGCCACUGACCCACAUAACCGAGGCUAGAGUAAAAAAUUUUAUCUGAAAGUCUAUCAUCUACCGUUAUGGUCUUCCCAGUGUGCUCAUCAUAGAAAAUGAUGGGCAAUUUAGCGGUCUCCAACUUCACGAAUUUUACAGAGGAUAUGGAAUAGAGCAUCACUUUAUCUUAGUGGGCUGCCCACAGGAGAAUGGAGAGGUAGAGGUGACUAACAGAACUCUCCUACAAGGCUUAAAGGCCAGAAUAGAUCGGACUGGAGGAUCUUGAGUAGACGAGCUUCAUCAUAUAUUGUGGGUUUAUCGGAUCACUCAGAGGCUUCUAAUUGGUGAGACUCUUUUCAAUCUUAUGUUCGAGACCAAAGUAGUCAUCCUUAUAGAAUUCGGGCUUCCUCCCCUCAGAGUCGAGGAAUAUGAUGAGAAUACCAAUUCGGUGUGGCUCCAAGCUAUCCUCGACUUGAUUGAAGAAAGUAGAGAACUUACGGUGGUCAGAAUGACUGUUUAUCGUCAAAGGAUGGUCAGAUAUUAUAAUGCUUGGAUCAAAAUCAAAGAAUUCCAUGUUGACGACCUAGUAUUGCAGCGGACUGAGAUUUCACAGCUCACUAAGCAGGAGAAGCUAUCACCUAAUUGAGAGGGCCCUUACCAAGUGAAUGAGGUGGUUCGCCCAGGGACUUAUCGGCUCAAGCGCCUCCAUGGGACUCCACUCCCUAAGUCAUGGAAUUUGGCCAACCUGCAUAUGUACUACCAGUAAUGUUGUAACGCUACAUUAUGUAUUAAUAUGAAUUCUCAGGAUUAUUAAUUUGUGUUUGCUUAUGAAAGUGGCAUGAGAAGCUCUGGAUUCUUUCUUAUGAGUUCUACAAGGAGCUCCUUCGAUCGAAAGCCAUAAUUAACAAAUGAGGGAUAACUUAUUACACCCUCAACCUACGACGUGAAGAUGAGAAGAGCACAUACUGCUCCGCUCGCAAGAUGAGCCGAGCACACGUUGCCUCUCGCCUUAUGAGAAGUGCACAUGCUGCUCCACUCACAAGAUGAGUCGAUCAUAUGCUACCUCUCAUCUUAUGAGAAGUGCACAUGCUGCUCUGCUCACAAGAUGAGCUGAGCACAUGCUGCCUCUCACCUUAUGAGAAGUGCACAUGUUGCUUCGUUCACAAGAUGAGCAGAGCACAUGCUGCCUCUUGCACGAAAAAAAGAAGUGCACAUGUUGCUGCUCACAGGAUGAGCAGAAUAUAAGCUAUUUCUCGCACAAAAACAUACGGGGCAGGGCCAAAUUGCCGCUUGUGGGGCAGAGUCAAAUUGCCGCUCGUGGGGCAAGGCCAAACUGCCGCUCGUGGGGCAGAGCCAAAUUGCCACUCGCGGAGUAGUGCCAAACUGUAGCUCGCGGAGCAGAGCCAGUUGUCCUCUAAUCGGAAUUAUCUCCAUCAAAAUUCAUUUAGGAUAAUUUUAUUAUCUCAAAUUAGAGCGAGAUCAUCUAAAUUCUUAAGGUCCAGAUCGACUCAGAUUGGGAUAGUUCUAAAUACCUUAGGUCAAGGCUCACCUCUAUGCAUUAGAUUGAAAUAUGCAAGCAUGACUAAACGAGACACAUACUCUAUAAAAGAAAGUUCCUUUUCAUUUAUCUAGUUAUUUACAAACAAAAAAAAUACCACCUUACAAAAAAAAAGAAAAAUGAAAAGUUUAAUCCCCAUCCGAUGAAGGAGCCUCUUCGUCACUGAUCUCAGGUUGGAAGCCAUCGAGCUCUAGGUACGACAUCACCUGCAGCAAGUGGGCCUUGUAGUUUUCGAAAGCAUCGAUGAAUUUGGUGGCGGCAAUGUCGAUGGCCUCCCUCUCAAACUCUGUAAAGUCCUAGUACUUCUGGAUGCAGUGAGCCCGGACGUCGGGAAGAAUCUACUCGAAUUGGGGGGUGCGCCCACCCCUAGACCUCGAUGGAGACCAUGAGGUGGAAGGCGCCCUGUGAGAAGUGGAUGGGCUAGCAUGCCUAGCUCUCACUCUCCUUGAGGCCUCUCUUAUAAAAGCCCACCUCUCCUUCACUCUGGCCUUCACCGCUAGCAAAGGAGGAUGCAAAGGGGGACGUGAGGGUGGUGCCAUCAUGACAAAGAGGAGAAGUUUCGACAGAGGAGAAAGAUAAAAUAUAGGGUUUCUAUGCCCUUUGGCUCCUAUUUAUAGGCACCAGUGCCCACACCAAUCACCAAUCGAUGGCCUGAGGGGAUAUAGCUGUCCACCAGAUAAUAAAUGGUGGGCCUUCCCACUAUCAGAAAUAAGUCUAGGUGAUGCUUCUCUAACCAGGAUGUGAUUACGUGGUGCAUUCCUAUAAGUCCUACAUACUUUUCCAGGCACUACUCCAUCAGAAAAGUCAAUAGCCAUCAUUCCCCAUGACCGCUAGUAUUAAAAAGGGUAGAGCAAAAACGUCAUCCGGAUGAUUGUCUCAGAUUGGUGUAUGUUCACCAUUACCUCAGAUCGACAUGUAUUAACUAUUGCCUUGGAUUAGCAUAUGCUAGAAAUUGCCUCUGAUCGGUAGAUGAGAGUAAUUGCCUCUGGUCGGCCCUAGCUCGAAAGAAAAAUUGGUUGGAAAGAAAAAUCAGUUGUUGUUGAAGUUCCUUCAUUCGGAACAUUCCUAACUACAAGAUCUGGUGUCCUAAAUCAGGCUGUGUAUUGCAUAAUAAUGUACAAUCAUGAGUGAAACACAGGAAGUAAGAAGUGCAAAUUUUGUUCAUUCAUCUUCUGUAAAAUAUUUAAAAUGAGAGUUUUUACAAUGAUCUUGAAGGUCCAAGUACAGAAAAAGUAAAAAGCAAAAUAUCUAAAAGUUGGCAUCUGGAGCUGAACCACCUGUCACGGGUUCGUCAGCUACGGUAGGAUCCUAAACUUCGUCUAAAAAGUUUAGAUUCAAUUUUGGAUACUUAGCGACGAUCCUAUCCCGGACCGAUUGCUUUUCAAGAUCGUAAGUAUCAGCAGCAAAUUCAAUCUUCUUGUCUUGAUACUCCACUGACGCUCGAAAGUCUGCAAUGACCUUAGAAGCGGCCUCUGCUGCCUUCUCUUCUGCCGCCCCUAGCUGAGUUUCAAGCUCCUUUAUUAGUCUCAGCAGUCGAGAGUUCUCUUCGAUUGCGGUCGACUUUUCUUGAGCUGAGCCUCAAGCCCCUUUAUUUUUUCUAGUAAUCGGGAGUUCUCCUCAACAGCUCCUUUUAGUGCCGCUUCAGCAUCUUCAGCUCUUUUUUCAAUGGCGUUGGCUCUCAUGGAGGCCUCUCCAGCCUCCCUCGUAGCCUUAUCCUCUGCACCUUUGAGCAUCCCAACCUCGAGCUCGUACUUCUUGCAUCUUUCGCAAGCUCGAUGGAGCUCUCCAUAUAUCCAUUCAAGUAAUGGACGAGCUGUUAAGAGAAACCUCCUGUCAAUGCCCAUGAUAAGUAUGCGCAGAAUGAAUAAAAUUGUAGGGGCUCCCACUUACCCGGAUGAUGAUCUAGCUUGGUCGCGUUGGCUGGGAGGAGCAUUUCGGUGAACAGCUUGUGCAUCAGCUUGUAAUCUUCUAGAGCUGAAGCUUCUAGCUCCAGUCCAGUUGGCGUGGCUCUAGAAACUCUAGCUGGCACUGUCCUAGAAGUCUCAGUUGUCUUUACCGAUGCUUCCUUGGGGGAAGAGUCAACAACUUGGAGACUCGGCAAAGCUGGUGGGCUCCGAGCUCGAAGCCACUGUCCAUUUGAUUUUCUCAAUCCUCAUCGGAGGCCAAAGCAGUUGAUGAACCGACUCUCACAAUUUUGAAGUCACCGGCAUGGGGAGGUUCAAGCUCUUCCGACCUAGAAGCAAGCAGCACUGGGGGAUUUCCAGUCCUAAUAGGGGUGCUUCGGCCAUCCGCAGACUCAGUUGCCUUUUUUCGACGGAUCUUCUUCUCUAAUUUUUUCAUUUCCGUCGGAUCUGUUUCUACAGCAAUCUUUGCAACUGACACAGUCAAAAGUUUAGCAUACAGCCAAAGGCUUAGUAAAAAAAAAAAAAGAAAGUAAAAGUUAAUAUUUUCUCGAGUCUAUAUUAAAUCAUGAGUCGAGACGGCAUGGGAUAUUUUCUAUUUUUACUUUUAAAUUCCAUAUAUCAAUUUAACCAUAUUUUUGAUAAAAUUAAAUUUUUUAUUUNNNNNNNNNNNNNNNNNNNNNNNNNNNNNNNNNNNNNNNNNNNNNNNNNNNNNNNNNNNNNNNNNNNNNNNNNNNNNNNNNNNNNNNNNNNNNNNNNNNNNNNNNNNNNNNNNNNNNNNNNNNNNNNNNNNNNNNNNNNNNNNNNNNNNNNNNNNNNNNNNNNNNNNNNNNNNNNNNNNNNNNNNNNNNNNNNNNNNNNNNNNNNNNNNNNNNNNNNNNNNNNNNUUAUUCUUAUCGUAUGGUUCAUAUAAAUUUGAAUUUUAUCAAAAUAUUUUAUUUAAAAUAAUCAUCAUCUUAAUAGAUCAUUCUUCACAGGACUCUUUGGAACAUGGUCGGGUCCAAUUUAGGUAGGAUUCUAAACCCGAGCCCACUUAAGAUCGUCCUAAGUUUCUGAACCCAACCAAAGUCUAUAACCAAACUUAUCCCCCUAAACACAAGCCUAAAGAACAAUCCGUCUCGCCGACUCGACUUCGAUCUCCCAUCUCUCCUCUCCACCAUCGUCUCCAGGAUUUCUUGGUUUCCUCCCUCCAUUCCCUCUUCUCCUCCAUCGUUGCAGCAGCGGUAACAGCGAUCGAUCGAUCUAGAUAGAUUCGUCUUCGAUCAAUCUCACCUCAUUCUCUUACCUUCACCUCGAAAUAGAAAACCCUAGAGAGAGAUGAUCGGCACGAUCCUCCCUCUACCGGCCCCGCCCUCCGAUGGCAACCUCGGUCCCAUUCCCCCCGCCCAGAUCUCCGACGAGAACGAGGAUGACAAGAAGCCCGAAGGCCAGCCGCCCGCUCCCGCCGCCGCCCCGGCGCCGGUGGCAACCCACACGAGAACCAUCGGUAUCAUCCACCCGCCGCCCGACAUCCGGAUGAUCAUCGAGAAGACGGCCACCUUCGUCGCCAAAAAUGGCCCUGAGUUCGAGAAGCGCAUCCUCGCCAACAACGCCGGCAACGCUAAGUUCAACUUCCUCAUUCCUUCCGACCCCUACCACGCCUACUACCAGCACCGUGUCUCCGAAUUCCGCUCCCAGCAGCAGCAGCAGCCUCCCGCCGCCGACUCCGACUCCUCCUCCCUGCAGCAGCAGCAGCCGCCCCCUUCCACGGAUUCCGCCCCCGCCGCACCUUCCGGCGAUUCCGCCGCCAAGCCCGACCUCGCCGCCCCGUUCCACAUCCCCACCCGGAAGGUCCUCGAGCCACCAGAGGCCGAGCAGUACACCGUCCGGCUCCCCGAGGGGAUCACCGGGGAGGAGCUCGACAUCAUCAAGCUCACCGCCCAGUUCGUCGCUCGGAACGGGAAGGUCUUCUUGAAUAAGCUCUCGGACCGGGAGGCCAACAACCCGCAGUUCCACUUCCUGCGGCCCACACACAGCAUGUUCACUUGCUUCACCGCGCUCACCGACGCCUGCUCGAAGGUGCUGAUGCCGCCCAAGGGGGUGACGGAGAAGCUGCGGAGCAGCGCCUGUGACAUGACGUCUGUGCUCGAGCGGUGCCUGCACCGCCUCGAGUGGGAGCGCUCGCAGGAGCAGGCGAGGCAGAAGGCCGAGGAUGAGAUCGAGCAGGAGAGGCAGCAGAUGGCGAUGAUCGAUUGGCAUGAUUUUGUUGUUGUGGAGACCAUCGAGUUUGCUGAUGACGAGGAUGAUGAGCUGCCGAUGCCGAUGACACUGGAGGAGGUCAUAAGAAGGAGCAAGAUGUCAGCUUUGGGUGAAGAGAAAGCCAUGGAAACAGUGGAACCAGGAAAGGAGGUGGAGAUGGAGAUGGACGAAGAGGAGGUCCAGCUUGUAGAAGAAGGUAUGAGGGCAGCAAGACUUGAAGAUGGUGGCAGGGAUGAGAAAAAGGGUGAAGCAGAGGCAGCGGCGGCACCUACUGAUGAACCAGAGCCUCCAAUGAGGAUAGUGAAGAACUGGAAGAGGCCCGAGGAGAGGAUCCCUGCUGAAAGAGACCCGACCAAGUUUACGAUCUCGCCGAUCACCGGUGAGCUAAUUCUGAUCAGUGAGAUGGCCGAACACAUGCGUAUUUCACUCAUAGACCCCAAGUAUAAGGAGCAGAAGGAGAGGAUGAUGGCAAAGAUCCGGGAGACGACUCUUGCUGCGGAUGAUGAGAUCGCUAGGAACAUUGUGGGGCUUGCCCGAACGCGUCCCGAUAUUUUUGGGACAACGGAGGAAGAAGUCUCUAAUGCAGUGAAGGCUGAAAUUGAGAAGAAGAAAGACGAGCAGCCAAAUCAGGUCAUUUGGGAUGGGCACUCUGGUAGCAUUGGGCGAACUGCAACUCAAGCUUUGUCUCAGAGUCUUUCUGGUGAGGAACAAAUUGAUGCUAACAGUGAUGACGGGAGGACCCUUCCAGGCCCUGCUCCACCUCCGAAGCCUGGUGUACCAUUAGUGCGGCCUUUCCCGCCCCCACCACCUGGAUUAGCUCUGAAUAUUCCUCGUUUUCCUCCAAAUGUGGCCCCUUACGCUGCUCUUGCUGCCAGUGGGGGAAUGGUGCCGCCACCACCGCGGCCAGGAAUUAUACCAAUAACUCCAUCUGUGAGGCCUGCAGCUCCACCAAUGCCUAUGACUUCGACCCAGCAGUCUGUUAUGAUGAGCAGGCCUUCAAUGCCCCAGGCGAUCUCAGUGUCACCUGCUAUUCCCAUGCCGCCACCACCUGGGUCGCAGUUCACUCCUUUGGUGGCUCCCCGACCAUUUGUUCCUAUGCCCAUGCUACAUCCUAACAUGCCAACUGUCCUGCCGCCUCCUCUCCCACAAGGAAUGCCACCUCCACCUCCUCCAGAGGAAGCUCCUCCACCGCUACCUGAUGAGCCAGAGCCAAAGAGGCUAAGGACUGAUGAUGUUUCUCUCAUACCAGAGGAUCAUUUCCUCACUCAGCAUCCUGUAAUGCCUACUAUGACUCUAUACAUUUGCUGUUGUUGCAUGUUUUUUUCCUUUCCCUUUAAGCAUUUGUUCUUGUAGUUAAUUCAAUGGAGAUGAUUACAGGAUAAACGACUUAUUCUACUUAUUACCUUGCAGGGACCUGCUCGUGUUUCUGUAUCUGUUCCUAAUGUUGAUGAAGGGAACUUGAAAGGCCAGCUUCUGGAGAUCACAGUACUGUCCUUGUCUGAGACUGUUGGCAGUCUUAAAGAGAAGAUUGCUGGAGAGAUUCAGCUUCCUGCUAAUAAGCAGAAAUUGAGCAGCAGGGCAGGUUUUCUAAAGGACAACCUUACACUUGCUUAUUACAACAUUGGUCCUGGAGAAACGUUAUCUCUUGCUCUAAGGGAGCGUGGUGGCAGAAAGAAAUGAUCUCUUCUUCUUUCUUGCUGCAACUUAGGAAGAAGUAGAGUUGUCAGUUAACAAAAUAAUAUUUGGCUUUAUGUGAUGAGGAUUUCUCAGACCUAUGUUCGGUAGGUGGAUUGGAACUUAUCUAUUACGAGUAACUGAUGAAAUUCAUGAUUUUUAAUGCAAAUAUGAAAUAUGGAUGUCAUCAUGCUCUGAUGUAUGGCGGAAUGUUAUAUAUUUCCCAAAGUGCAAGCUGAUCAUGACUUGAUAAUUUUCUGUCAGCAUACUCUUGUUGCCUUCCACUUUCAGUUUUUAUUUUAUUUUUGUUGUGCUAUUGCUGUGUAUGGAUUAUAAAUAUAAACAAUAUUAGGAGUCUAUUAAAUAUUUUUGAUGUCAAGGCCUUUAAUUUCUCAUGUAUUUUCUCAUCUGCUGUGGGUUCCACAUGUUCUAUUUUUGAUGAAUCAUGAAUGCAAAUUUUCAAAUGUUGGUUAAUUUAUUGCCUAUAUUGCUUAGUUUUUAAUGUAAAGGUCUUUUUUUAGCGAGCAUGCAAUAUUUUUUACCAUGUGUUCAGCAGUGUCCAUUUCAGGCCAAGACUCUAGCUAGAUGUCUUCUAUGCUCUCCAUUUUAGUUUUUUUUAAUUAUAUAUAUAUAUAUAUUUAUUUAUUUAUUUAUUUAUUGUCUUAUUUCAGCCAUCAUGUGAAUCUGUGUAUUAAGCCUAUGGGUACUGCAUAAUCCUUUGAUGUCUUACAUGUUGGUUGUCAGGCUCCAUGCUUCAUGCUCUGGAGACAUAACUCAUAAUCAAAAUAUGGUUCUGACAGAGUUCAAGAACAAUUUGCUACUAGUUCUGAACCUAAAGUUCUCCCUCUAUGAAGUAGUUCAAAGCAGCUUGCUGGAAGGGAGGGACCAAGGGGCCUGCCAUAAAUCUUAGCAGGUCAUUUCAAGGAAGGCAGACCGAUUGUGUAGAAAUUUAGUAGGUCAUUUCAAGGAAGCAGACUUAUUUGUAGAAAUUUUAAUCUCAUGCAAGCAGAACAACGACCUUUGAGACUCCAAGAAGAUUAGAUUGAUCAUUAGAGUGGAGAUAAAGAGGUGAGAAGAUACCAUUUGGUAUGUGAACUACAUUCAUCUCUGAGGCAAAUUAUGAGCCAAACUGAAACAUGAUUCGGUGUCUUCUACCUUGAAUACGACUAAAAAUUUUCUUUUUGAAUAUCAUAGUAACCUUCUCAAUUUACUCUUCUGAAAGAAUAGCUGAUCUUAGUGAUGCGCUUUCUUGUUCUUCCCUUCUUAGAGGCACCUUAUGGCGCAUGAUCGAAUCAUUAUUACUACACAGAAGUGCUAUACAUAGUUCUGAAGUAAGAAUAACAUGGCCAAUGCCUCUGUUUUAUGGGAUAGUUUUACUAGCAAUGAUGUAAGAAGUACUGCAUACAACAUCGUGUAAGUUGUGGGAAUAUUUAAGCUUCCUUAGGCAUGUGCAUUAUUUGUCUUGCAUCCCUUGACUUUAGCAUAUUAACAUUUAUCCAUCUGGGCUAUUAACACUCACCCACCUGAGCUAUCUUGCAACUUUUUUAUGGAGAUUAUGCUCAAGGCAUGGGAGCACCUGCUUUGAUGUCAUGCAGGGACGCGGCCAUCUGAACCUGCAGCACAGCAUGUACGGAAUCUAGUGAACAUUGUGAUGGCGGUAGAGCAUCUGGCUGCUGCUGCUUUGGCUUGAUCCAUGUCUCUUACCUUUGUUAUUUAGUAAAUCUGUCGUUAAGGGUCACUUUCAUGGUGCUGUGUCCCUCCAAGUGCACUGGUGCAGCCUGCCUUCUCAGGGCUCUUUCUUUAACCUCUUCCCUCGGCUGCCCUCACCCACUCCAUUGUCUGCAGAAACUGAGGAUGAUCUAUGGUUUUCUGUUACUAGCUUGUCUACAGGUUGGUCAGAGGCUACAAUGCUCCUCCUGCAUGCUGGAAGUUGUAAUCUGAAGUUUGUCUUUGUUGUGGUGUCUGUUCUGGGUAUUUUGGGGUGAUGACUAUCUUUUAGAUGGUCCUUGUUAGCUGUACUUACUCUCUACUAUAAUAUAUAAUCCUUACAUAGAAAAAGGUUAUAUAUAAAUUCAUCUUUUCAAAUUUAUGAAAUGAGGUAACUUUCUCUUGAAGAUUUUCUGUUUGUUUCCUCAGCUUGAAUUUGACAAGGGUUGUAGUUGAUAUUGGAGAUGGUACCAUAAUAUAUUAUUCCAGUUCUGGAUUGUCACAUGAUUGGGAGCAGUAUCAAAUCUUUCCUGAUUGCAUGCAGUGAUGUAACUUGGAUAUUUUGUGACUUUUACAGGUAUAAGAUUUUUCCUUUCACCUUUUUCAGAUUCAUAAGGUCACUAGGAUGCUGUUUUUUAUAGAUGCAAGUAAUUCCUGCUAUGCUUCUGAUGUUCUUUGAGUGAUAUUAUGAGUGGCCAUUAUAAUGGCUAAGCUCUAUAUACCAGAUUGCUAUUUCAGGAGGAAAUAUUUUUCUUUCCUGAAUGAAACAUCAUGAAAUAAUAAUAUUUCUGUAUUUUUUUUUCCAACUUUGAUCAUUAAACUUGUGCAACAAUGUAUUUCUGUCACCAAAAAAGUAUAUUUACUUGGUAUCAUUAUUUUAAUGAUUCAUCUUGUAGAACAACUCAUUUCCUCACACUUAUAUUUUAACCUCUAUAUCAUUUCAUCAUCAACUAUGUUUGGUGGCUGGAAGAUGAUGACGGUGUUGUUUAUUUUUGUACUUGAGUUAUGGUUUGUGGAAUUUGAGUCAUUCAUUUCCCUGUUCAUCAGUUGAUUGAAAAACAAUCUUAUAGUUGCUGUUAUUUUGAUUAUAGUCAAAACAUUUAUUUUUGAUUUAUGUUAUUUGUUAGAUGGCUGCUAUGGACCAAUUCAAUGGAAUAACUUAUGACUUAGCAGAAAAAUAGUUUUUUAAAGACAUUAAGUAUUUUUUUUUCAUGCAACAAGUUUGGUUUUACCAAACAUACAUAAUAGCCUUUAAGUAAUGGUCAUUGUAUGUAUGUAUGUUUGUCUGUCAAGAUCAUCAUAACAUGCUCUGUAGCAUAUGGAAGGGAAUACUCUUUUUUUCCCUGUUAUAUGUUGUGAGAGACUGUACGACUGGAUCAAGACAAUUAAGUGCUGAGAUGACCUUGGCCUCAACCAGCUAAAAUUGGCAUUGGUGUCACAUAGUUGUUGUCUGGUUGCACCUUAUUCUACAUCAAGGCUUCUCUCUAGGCCUUGCUGAAACUUGAUUGUGCUUGAGAUGUAACUUAAAAAGGUGACUCAGAAAUGACAUGCAAAGUUCUGAAUUAACAAAGCAUCCCAUGCAUCAUGUGGGUGCAAGGACCAAUAUCUGAUAGAGUCUACUAGCAUUUGAGGAUCAAAUUGGUGUAUAUGAUUGAUCCAUGCAGACAACUUGUUUCCAACAGUAAGGACAGUAUGUAAAUGGCUGCUGUGAAUCUUAAGACAUAGGUUAGACCCUCUCGCUUGGAACAAAGAAAUGCCUAAAUUUUGGAGCGCAUGCGAUAUCUUAUUACGGUCAUCAUUGUUGAUUGUAAAUGCAAGCAGCAUGUCUAUACUUCCAUGAGAUGAAAGAAUUUGACCAAGUAACACAUGAGAGAGAGAGAGAGAGAAGAUGAAGAAGAAGAGUCACAAACUUAAUGAGACUGGGAAGUUUAUAAUCAAUUGAUUUCUUAGUUUUUUGAAGGAGGUUAGGAACAACUGACAAAAAUUAAAGGAGCGUUAGAUGAAAGAAUCGGACCAAGUAACUUAGUUGGCUAUGUCACCAUAACGACAUGAAGACUAGUGAGGUAGUUAGAUCAUCAUUGAUAAUAAGUUGGAAACCAUUAAAGUGGAAUGUGAACAUAUUAUCAGAUUUAUUUUUGGCUCAUAUUUUCAGCUUUCUAAGUGUGUGAUGAGAAGUUGGAGUAUCCAAUUCCAAAAUUUUAAAAAUGGGGCCCAUGAUGCAAUUCAUGUUAGAGAAUUGAGUCAUUAUAACAAAAGUUAAAGACCAAGAGAAUUUGAACUUUUGAAUGGUAGAAUAAUUCCAAAAGGGAGGAUGAAAUCUAGUGAUAUGUGGUUUUUGGUGGUAACUACAACAAGCUAAACAAUAAAAAGGGCAAUAUAGAUCAUACUGGAUUUGUUUUGCCGAGUAUGUCAGCAUACUUGUGGACAAAAACAAAGUUAGAGAUUGAGAGGAGGCUAUGUUGAAAAAUUGUUGAAGAUAAUGUUAGAAGUGUUGGGUAAGUUGGAAAUAAAUGUGCCCACUUCUUGAAUUUUGAGAUUCUGCAUAAUUUGAUUAAUGAAAUAGAAGAUGCUUUAUCAAAGACAAAGGAGGUCAGGAUUUGAAUGAAAUUGAUACCCACAGAAGCACCUUAACAGUUGAACAAAGUUUGGGACCUUGAACCUUAGGAAAAUGCUAAAAUCUAAAUAAACACAUAGUGCUGGCUGUGAAGUUAUAUAGACAUCAAGAUCAUUCUUGAGUUAAAUUAUGAGUGAAGCGAUGGGAGUGGAUUAGGUGUCAGUUAGUCUGAAAAACAGUAUAACUACAUCUCAUUGGGUCAACAUCAAGAUGAUCUUCUUAAAUAGGUAUGACUGGAAAAUACUUUUGAUUAAAAGAAAACAAACUUUGCAUGUUUAAUAUUGAUUUGGAAAUGAUUUCAGCAAAUUUGAUGGAGGAACUUAUUUGGUGGGUGAUGAGAAAGAAAAGUUGGAUAGUUUAGAAAUGUUAGUAACAUGCAUGCAAAAGAAGAACUACAUUAGUGAGAACAGAAAGUUCCAAAUGACUACAGGCCUUCUCUAGGGUUAGCUUUAAGCCUCUGCAUAUUUAUGCUUGUUUUAGAUGUCUUAACAAGUAAUAUCUUAAAAAAUUAUUCCCAGUGAAUGCCAUUUGCAGUCGUUAGUUUGUUGCUUUUAAGACCAGGAAAGGGUUAAUAUUUAUUUGGAAGGUGGAAGAAGAAUCUUGAGAACACAGUUCAUAAAGUGAGUGCAAGUUAGCACCUAGAUUGCAACUAUAAUAGGAUUAUGGGAGUCCUUGAAGUUGUACUUGAAAUUGAGAUGCAAGGGGUACAAAGUCCCUAUUUUACCUUGCGUCUGUGCUUUAAGGAAUGAGAAAUUAGCAAGGAUGUUUCUAGCAAACAGCAUAAGGAUUUCUGAAUAUAUCAUGAAGGGUGGGAGUGGGACCAAAGAAGUCUAGGGCGGAGAUAGUAAAAGAUAAUCUCUGGGCACUUUGCAUUUUUAAAGACAGAUGUGAAUAGGAAUCUGAAGCUGAAUAGGAUGGUUCUAUAGGAAACUGAUGUGAUAAAUGUUUCUGUCAUGCUAUUUUUAAGUAUCCAUGCUAUUAAAAUUUUCUUGUAGAUGCAUUUUUAUGAUGCCUAUAAGUCUAUAUAUGAUUUCAAUUGGAUAUCACAUAGGAGUCAAAAAUUAGUUCCAAAAGUGGCCACACUAUAAAUUUUGUUGAUUAUAUUUGAAACCUUGGAAGAAUUUUUUUUUUUUCGAUUUCAUAACUUUUCCACGUACUUAUCUGUGUCAUUUGCAUCCAAUUCAUGAAUCCAUGUAGGAUAUAUGCUUGUCAGUUGGAUAAACUUUAGAAUAAUAUGGUUUGUAGGUUUUAGAGACUGAUGAAGGGUUGACCUUUCUAAUAAUGCGUUUAACCUGCCAUAAUGAGAUCAUGGUUUCUUUUCUAAUUUUCAGUCUUGGCUGAAUAUGUAAGCGCUAUAAUGAUUGCUUGAAAUUUCAUGCUUUUUAUACCCAUGAGCUUCUUUUGGAUUUUGGAUGAUGAACAUGUAUACUGAAACUUGUUCACAAUAUAUUGUAUAAAAAUAUAUAUAUUUUCUUGUGUCUACAUGCAUCCUUUUUCGAUCCUUUUACCGACUUAGAAGCUUGGAUACAUCUCUCAAUCUGGUCCUGACAGUGUAUGUCCAUGCAACAUUUGUAAUGACCUUUAUGACUAAUUGAUUUAAAUUCAUCAGAUUUUUAUGACUUGAUAUUUGAAAAAGGAGCUCAUAAUGGCUUUCUUUUGAAUUCAAUGCUUCAAUUGUCUUCAUUUACUUCUUGUUCUAAUAGUGAAAUGUUUCUCUGUGACACAGUCGAACUGGCUCCUGGAGCUGAUUCUGAAGCACUUGAUGUUGUUAGAGAGUGUUUGCAAGAAGUGUUUAAGGUCAAAUCAUCCACCACUGCUGAUGGGAUACGGCCUGGUUUAUUGUGAGACCUAUUCGCUUCACAGGAAGCUGGUGAACAGCGUAGUCUGAGACCAGAUUUGGACUCUGUUGCAAAAUCCUGUGCCACCUCAUCUUCCCAAAAAAUUGAAGAUUUCAAAACUUUAAAGGAAUCAACUGUAAGUUUUCAUCUCCUUCACCAAGUCUCGCAUAUCUUUGAUAAAUAUAUGCUAAAAUAUAUCUUUUUAUCAGUUAAUUAUAAGUUUUUUUUACCUAUUUUAUGUUCUGCUACUUUUGUUGCUAACUUGUUUCCUCUUUACUGUUUGAUAUUAAUUUAAGUUUAAUGUGUCUCUUACCUUAUCUACUGAAUUUAUUUUGAAAGUGAAACACAUCCAUUGAUUAUGUUUUAUAAUAAGUUAUAUAUUUUCCUCUAUCUUUCUUUGACUAUUGGUAUUUGGUAUAGUAUAACGAGAUGUAAAGAGGAAUGGUGAAGAGAAAAACUUGCCUUUUGCACAAGGUGAUGAAAGGUAACUGAGCUUACCAAGAAAGGGAUUACAAAAAUAAUUUUUAUUAAAAAGGAUAAAGAAAAUAGAUGGAACUAUACAAAAUUCUAUCUAGGAACCAUGAGACAUCUGCAUUUUGAGCUCUCUUUUGUAGAAAGAAAUUAUUCAGAUUUAAAAACCUAUUAUUUUUCAGUUACAAGCUUGACAUUUAAAAAUUCUCAUCCUGGUCUUUCUGCUAAACUGCAAAUAAGAAGAUAUUACGUGUUUUUUGAAUAUUGUUUUUGAAUUAGGGAUGUUUUGAGUUAUCAAUAUGCCCAAUUGGCCAAAGACCAUAUAGGGUGAUUCUAUAUAAGGUCAUUUAUAUUUUAUAUUUAUAAAAAGAAGAAAAAAGGGCGAAAGCACUAGGUACGGAACCGUUAUUAUGCGUGGUCAAUGUUGUAACUUCUGCACCUCCCUCUAACAUCCUUAAGCAAUGAAUACUGCUAUAAUCGAAAAUAUUUUUUAAUCCAAUAUGGUUCACCGAACCAUUCCAAAUCGGGUGGUUCAGAGGGUUCCAAGUCGUAUCGGCUGCAAAUCGGGAUGGUUCAGCCUUCCUAAUCAGAACACUGGAUGAGAGAGAGGGAAGGAGAGGAAGAGAGAGAGGAGGGUAGGAAAAGAGAGGACGAUGCCGUUGGAGGGUUGGUGGUGGCUUGUCGAGACUGUCGGAGGGCCGUGGAGGCAUCCAUGCCUCUGUGUCAUCCGAUAGGAUAUUUAAUUGAGAGAGAUAGAGAGAGAGGGAGUAAGGAUACCGUAGGGAGGCGCAAUUGGUGGAGAGGCAACUGGAGGGUGCUGGAUGGCCGUCGUGGCCAACCGACAGUGGAAAAGGUGCGACAGAGCCAUGGUCGCGGAACAAGGGCCACCAUUCCUGUUCAUCACAUUUUUUGUUAAACGAUGAUGAAUAGUGAAGCCGACAAACUGACUGCUUUUUUUACUGUGAUCAGGAUUUUUUAAAAAAAUUUCAUGAAACAGGGACGAUUGUUUUUAUUUCAUGCCCGCAGAGCCACAAGCCACAAUUUCGCCAUCUGGUAGCCAAUCGGAGGCCUUCUGGCAACCUCUCUGUCGGUUUCCCCUUCCUCAUUUUCUUUCCCUCCCCCCCUCUCUACCUCUUUCUCUUGGCCACAAUUUGGUGGAGCAAGCGCCUUGGUGGUCCUUUGAGUGUGCCCGUGGCAUGCUUGUGGCCGCUGCCAGUGUCUCCUCCAGCCACCCUCCCCUCCCUUCCCCCUUCUCCCUCCCCCUCUCCUCUCUCUCUUUUUCUCCUCUCCGGUUCCUUUAUUCACUUCUGUGUCGGUUCGGUUCGCAUUGGUCCCGUCUGGUACAGACUUAUACCGACUCAUAUCGCUGGCCAGCCGACACGGAUCCCAAUAUCGGUUCCCCGAUCUUGCUUUUUAGGUUGUGGAUGCAUAUUUUGUUUUUAGUUUUCAGACUCAUGUAUAAGGUGGCCUUGGUGUACUUAGGUUGUUCCAUUGUGCCAUAGGUGUCAUGAGUUCGAAACACAAAAAUAACCUUAUCAUAUAUGGUGGUAAGCAAGAUUCGCAGACUCAGAACCGAAUCCCAUGCCGGCCAACCAGCGGUAUGAGUUGGUACGCCCCCAUAUCAGAUCCUACCAAGUUCGAACCAUCACAAAAAUGAGGGAGAAUCAGGGAGGAAAAGAGGGAGGGGGGAUGGAGGGAGGGAGAGGCAGGGAAUGAAAGAGAGGCUAGCGGAGAUGCUGGCGGUGUCCAUCGGAGGGCUGUCGAGGUCUCCAGGGCUCUGCGGUCCUCUAGGAGAGAGAUAGAGAGAUGGAGAGGGAGAGAGAUGGAGGGAGGGGGAGGUCUCCGUAAAUGCCAUGUCAUUCCUAUUUCGAACCUACGACGUUUGCGGGUGGACUUCCACUGUCCGCCAGCCACAGUGGCCUCCCUGUUGCCUUCCCCUCCAUUUCUCUUCCUCCCCCUCUCUAUCUCAUUCUCUAAUCUCUCUCGCGGAGGACAACGGAGCCCCAAAGGCCUCGGCGGGCCAUUGUCGGUCUUUUCAUUGUUAGAAAAUGUGUCCUAAAGUCAAUCGUUUGAAGAAUUGCGCUCUUUGUAAUUGUAUAUGAAUUAUGAAAUAAUAAAAGAUAUUUGGCAUUUUUCAUCACAAGGUGUACAUCUUUAUUAGAACUCGUGUUGUGACGAAGUCCUUAGAAUUAUAUGACAAUCGAUAAAAAAGAAUUUAUCGAAUAAUUCUUAAACAUAUUCGCGAUCAAAUGAUACGUCAUUAAAGGAUGAUGAUGUUAAUCGAGUGUAGAUCAUUGUGUGCCAUGUAGAUUGGUUGUUCUCUUAACCAAGAAGUGUGGAGAUACUGAUAUGGCAUACAGGUGAGAUGAAGUACAUCAUCACUGAACAAGUGACUCAUCUACGGAGCACUCUGCUGUCAAGAGCAGCUCGCGAAGCAUAUGGGCAUAAGUGUCCCUUAGACCUGUGUCCCUUAGCUUUCUAGAUGGUAACUUCGAUUAGUAUAAAAAAUGAUUUCUGUACUAUCGGCUUAGUGUUCGAAUCUAUGGAGUCACGGACAAAAUCAGACGACGUAGGAAAGAAUUGACCUGUCUAUAAGAUCAAUUUGGAAGUACGUGACUUGAUUGAACGAAUAGAUUAGCUUAAUCGAGAAUUAAGUUAAAGAUCAUACGGGAUUAAACAAGUUGACUAUGUCUAGCUAGUACUGGAUAUUGGGUUCAGGUUUAAUUCCGGGAAUGAUGAUGAUCUGAUCAAUGAUCCAAAGAAUUUAUGAGAGAUUGAAUUUAUGUCCUAAUUAAUUUCUGAUUUGAUCUGAUUUAGUUAAGGCUUAAUUGGGUUAAAAAUCCAAGUUAGAUUUGGAUCAGAAUCCUAAUUAGAUUAGGAUUGAUAGGUUCUUCAAAUCUGGUUCGAAUCGGAUCCAAAACAAGUCAAAUCUGAGCCCAUUUGGUUUAGAACCAAAGAGUCCCAAAUAUCUGGGACUCUCUCUUGUAAAGUGGUCGACCAAAAGGGAGAGGAGCAUUGAUUUUUUCAGCCCCAUAUGGGGGCGUGUGUGAAGGGUGUUCAGUGAAGAGUUUUGGGCACUAUCCUUUCUCAUGUAGGAUUCCUACUUGGAUAUGGUUAGGACCUAUUCAAAAUUGGUUUGAGUUCAAGUCCUAAAUCAAAUAGAUUUUGAUCAGAUGUAAGACGCCUCACCUAUUUAAAGGGAAGAACCCAACUAAUUGGUGAUUAAGAAAAAUGUGCGACAAAAUAAUUCCCACAUCACCGUGAGAUAGAAGGGUGUGUGCGACAACAGAAGAGAGGGCGUCUCUUCUUUCUUGGCGUGGGGAAUUCAAGGCGUCAUCUUUAUUGGCGUGUGGACUCCCAUCCAAGAUCUCAUCCACUCGUGAGAUAUGAUCUCCUCCUCUUGAUCCCUUCUGAAGGAUUGGCGCAAGGAAGAUCAUCCCGCUUUCCUGCAAAGCUUGGCGUGCGUGUGAAGUAGAGAGUCUGUACGUUCAGGCCUUGUGAGGUAUUGGAUUUGAGAAUCCUCUGAAAAUUUUGAUCUCUAUUCCGCUGCAUAUCAGAUAACAUAAAAUUUAUGUUAGCUUAUUAUAGAAAAAUUUUUCAGAUGCACCCUAGCGAUUUGAUCAGAUCGGACGAAUUUUUUCUUCAAUUGGUAUCAGAGCCAAGUUUGAUACAUGCAAUGCAUAGUUAACUUUUCUGGUAUAAUUAUAUAAGAUAUAUGAUCAGAUUUUUAUGGUAGAUAAUAAAUCUGAUUUAGACCUGUUAAUAUAAAAUUUAUAAUUUGGUUUUGAUCAAGAUUUCAGGAACUAAAUCAAUAGUUGAUUGAAGUUUGUUAUAAAUCUGUUAUAAUAGAAUUUUCUUGAUGCAGAUUUUUGCUGAAAUAACACCCGAAUUAAAAUCUGUUUUAAAUCUAUUUUAACAGAAUUUUUAUGAUGUUGUUUCGGAUUGGAUGUUAGACAUAAUCAAAAUCUGAAUUAAAUCUGUUUUGACAGAUUUUCAGAUUUGAUUUUAAGCAAAAUUUCGCACAAUGUAAAAUCAGGUCUAACCAGAAAUUUUAUUUUUAUGUGUUCAUAUGUGUGUUUGAAUUAUUUUUCUAUAAGAUUCCAUAUCUUAAGUAAAUAUUUUAUAUGCUGUAUAAAAGUGGUUCAGAUUAAAAAUUUAUAUGAAAUUUAUCUGAAAUUAAUCUGAUGCAUGGAUCUAAUUAGAUUAGAUAUAUAAUAUGAAUAAUAUGAUCAUAUUCAUAUGAAUGCAUGCCUGUUUUGAUUAUUGCAUAUGUAAAUAUAAUUAAUUUUUGAAAUUAGAUUUCAGAUUUUAGUAGCUCAAUACUCAAGACCGUCCGGUCAAAAGAGAAAGCAGGGAUUGAGUCCUUCUCUUGUCUUUUCGACGGAUUCUCUUAUGACGUGUAGGGAUGCUAUUGUGAUCAAGUCUCAUGAAGAAGAACAGCGCAAAAAAAUUUUAAAAUUAUUUUAAUCAUAAAUAUAUUUAGAUUAGAUCUAAAAUAAUUUAUGAUUAAUUAUAAUUUUAAUAAAAUAAAUUUAGAUAUGAAAAUUAUUUUAAGAUCUGAAUUAUUGGUUGUGUAUGAUGUAAUCGGUAGUGAUCUAAAAGUGAUCAUGAUACAUGUGAUGUAUGUAUGAUAUUUAGAUCAGAUUUAUGCAUGUUUAAUUGUUAAAUAUAAAUCUGAAAAUUAGAUUUUAAGAUUUGAAAAUUGCAUGAUAUAUGAUGUAUGUUUCACUUGAAAUCUUAAUAGAAUAGUUCUACAAACUCAAACACACAUUUCACACACUUAAUUUGGAAUUAAGUGAUUUAGAUUUGAGAAUUGAAGACGUUAAAAUACCUCAUAAAUCGAUGGACAAUGGAUUAGCACGAAUCAGAUCUUCUAACUGGGUUAGACCUAGGGUUAGAAAUAAAUAUGGACCAAUAUUAGAGAAAUUGAUUAAAUCUAAUCAAGAGUUGAGUUAGAUUAUGUCAGAAUUUCUCUAAGAUCAACCAUAAUAGUUGUAACUUGAUUAAGUCCAUAUUUUUGACCAUACCAAAUGGUUCUGAUUGUGGCUCAAUGAUUUAGUCCAAGUCUUUUGGUUGAUCGAAUUGAAACUAAUCGAUUAAUUGGUGUUUAAGGUAAGUUUGGCAAUAUUGCUUGUCAAUAUAAUCGGUGGUUUUUAAUUGGCAGUCCGCUUAUCUGACCAUUUCGAUGGUGUCUAAGGCAACUUGAGGCAGACCUUCCCAUCGAUCUCACUUAUCUAUUCAAUUUGAUAGAUUAUAUUUUGAUUAGAUCACUGAUCGAUUCGAGAUGACCCAUGCUAUUAAGGUAAAUCAGUGUGACUGAUUUAGGUGUUUCUAGAUCAGACUUGUCUUUAGUUCUCUUCAUGACUUGGUGAAGUCAGUGGGAGGAUUUAUGACUUAUCGGUUAAUUUCUUCUCUUAUUCUCAAAUCAUUAAAUCAGUUUGACAGAGUUAGGUGCUUAAGACCAACUUGUCUAUGGUUCUCUUCAUGACUUGAUAAAGUCAGUGAGAGGAUUUAAGACUUGCCGGUCAAUUGCUUAUCAAAUCAUUAAAAUUAAAUUUUCUAAAUUAUUAGGUCCUUAAAAUGACAAUGUUAUGGAGAUAACAAAGUCAUAGCCUCCCAUUAAGGUGGAUGGUAAUGGGUCCAAUAAUCUAGGUAAACAUUAGAGGCAUUUUCCGUCUAGUGUUUAUUUGGAUAUUGGAAUUAUCAUUCAUUAUAUGAUGACUCAGCUGUACUAUCUGAUGAAUGGUUAGAUUGGUCGAGCUUUAUUCGGACCUGAUCAUUCAUUAGUUAGAUUCACUGAGUAUGUUCAUGUUAAUGGUUGGACCUAAUCGGAAUUUUCAGUGGAGGCCACGACCUACUGAAAAGGAAUAUGAGGCAAAAUCAUUACUAAAAAUUGUUUGGAGAAACAAUUGAUUAAGAAUCUAUCCAUAAAUGCACAUGUAUAAGCCAGAGCUCUACUCGGGUCCAUAUGUAGUCUGUGUGGAUUCUAGUAUCCGUUAAGGGAUUAAAGUAAUUCUUCGAAUUAGAGGUAGAAGCUACCAAUUCGUAUAAAAUAGUGGAAGGAUUUUUAGACUAAAGUCUAAGUCUUUAGGAUUAAAUACUUAAUAUACUAAUAGGUCUUUGUUUUUCUUUCAGAAUGGCUAGUAAGUUGUCACUUCGCUCACUGUUGGACAGUGACAAGUUUAUAGGACCAAAUUUUGAUAAUUGGUAUCAAAAGCUGAGACUAGUUUUCGAGCACGAGAGAAUCUUAUAUAUGAUUAUGGAUCCUAUACCUGAAGUACCAGUUUCCAAUGCAGAUGUAACGAUUAGAGACACUUAUCAGAAGUGGCUCAAUGACUGUAUGACAGUACGUUGCAUAAUGAGAGCUACUGUGAGUGACAAAUUUAGUUGUAAAUUCGAUGAUGCUCAGCCAAAGGAGAUACUUCAAAUGUUGAACAAGUUCUUUGGUGCUGAAAAAUUGUGCUGGUCCUAAGCAAUUUAAGGCAGACCAGAGUUAGACAAAAAUAAACAGGCCUAGGAAGAGAAAUCAAUAAAGGGUUGCUGGAGAAGGUACUUUUAUCAUAACAUCUUGUAAUUUCUUUGUCUGUGAUACUAUUAUCUGGAUAUUGGAUAUCGAAAGUCUGAUUCAUAUCUGCAAUUUGUUGUAGAGACUUCAGAUUAGUAGAAAAUUUUAGAAGAGCGAACGAUUCCUGAAUGUUGGAGAUGGAAGAGCUGUUUCAGUUCUAGCAUUAGAAAAAGUUUAGCUUACUCUCAAUUUAAAUAUCAUUGUUUUAGAUGAUUGUCAUGAUUGUCCAUCAUUCUUUAUGAAUGUCAUCUUCGUAGGUCUUUGGGCCAAAGAGAAUUAUAGCUUCUUAAUAAAAGAAGAUUUCUAUGAUAUCAUUAUGAAUGGUGUCACAGUAAUGCGUAGAUAAUUGAAACAUGGUAUUUACAUUUUAUCAGUCUGUUAGUGUAAUGUACACAUCGAACAAACGCUCUAGAAUAGAUCAUGUCACAGAUACCUAUCUUUGGCAUUGUAGAUUCGGUCAUAUAAAUAAGAAUAGGAUAAACAUGUUAGCUAAAGAGAAAAUCUUCGAUAUCAAUGAUUGUGAAUCAUUACCGACCUGUGAGUCCUAUCUACUUGAAAAGAUGAUCAAGUCAUCUUUUACUGAAAAGGAUGGGCGAGCCAGUGAUGCUCUAGGUCUAGUACAUAAUGAUGUAUGUAGACUUAUGAAAAUAGCCGUCAGAGAAGGAUAUUACUAUUUUAUUACAUUUACUGACGAUCUAUCGAGAUAUGGGUACGCCUACCAAUGAAGUAUAAAUCUGAAUCAUUUGAAAUGUUCAAACAAUUCCGUAAUGAGGUGGAAAAAUAAACUGGGAAGAGUAUUAAAAUUCUUUGAUCAGAUCGAGGAGGUGAAUAUCUUUUCAAUGAGUUUUUGAUAUAUCUAGGAGAAAAUGAAAUUCUCUCACAAUAGAUUCCUCUUGGGACACAGCAUAAUGAGAUGUCACAAAGGAGAAAUCGAACUCUGUUAGACAUAGUUCGGUUUAUGAUGGGGUUGCGAGUCUCUCGAUCUCUUUUGGGGUCAUGCUCUUGAGAUUGUAUACGAUGUUCUGAAUGUUUCGAACAAAUCAAUCACAAAAGCACCAUAUGAGAUUUGGACUGGACGUAGGCUGACAUUUCUCACCUUAGGGUUUGGGGUUGUCCAGCUUGUGUCAAAUGUUUGCCGACCGAUAAGCUUGGGCCUUGGUCCAAUAACUGCUUGUUUGUAGGGUAUACCAAGAAAUCUAGGAUAUACUACUAUCUUGCUGAAGAACGAAAGAUAUUUGUUAGCAAUAAAGCAGUUUUUUUGGAAAAGAAGUUCCUUAGUGAAGGAAUUAAUGUCUCUAAGGUUGAAGUUCGACAGGUAAAAGAAUCGACAUAGAUCAGUGAAAAUAUAGAAUCGAAUUUGAUUAGGUCAAAUUCAGAGUCCAUUGUUGAGGCACCUUUAAGAAGAUCCGAUAGAGUAUCGCGUCAGUCGGAUAGAUACUAUGAUUUCUUGAUCUGGGACGAUGAUUCUAUUGAACUUGAUGACAAUAAUGAGGAUUCGAUCACCUACAUGGAUGUCAUGUAAAAGUCUGACUCUGAGAAAUGGCUUGAGGUCAUGAAAUUCAAGAUGGAGUCCAUGGAGAUCAAUAAUAUAUGGAUACUUGUUGAUCUACCCGAAGGGAUUAAAUCUAUAGGGUGUAAAUGGAUAUUCAAAAGGAAAAAGGGCGCAGAUGGGAAGGUGGAGAUCUAUAAAGUCCGUUUGAUUGUCAAAGAAUAUCGUCAACGUUAUGGUAUUGACUAUGAUAAGAUAUUUUCUCCUGUGGCAAUGCUCAAGUCCAUCCGAAUUAUGUUUGUGAUAGUAGUACACUUUGAUUAUGAGAUCUGACAAAUGGAUGUUAAAACCGCUUUCCUUAAUAGGGAGCUGGAAGAAGAGGUGUAUAUGAUACAACAUGAAGGGUUCACAUCCACAGAUGAAUCAAAGGUGUGCAAGCUUCAAAGAUUUAUUUAUAGAUUGAAACAGGCAUCUCGAAGUUGGAACAUGCGUUUUGAUAAAGUGAUCAAAACGUAUGGCUUCGUUAGGAAUGGAGAAGAACUAUGCAUUUAUAAAUGGGCUAAUAGUUCUGUAGUCAUCUUAAUAAAAAAUGACGUUUCUACUUUACAAAGAGUAAAGUUUUGGCUGUCUUCACAAUUUUUCAUGAAGAAUUUGGGAGAAGCAUCCUACAUUUUAGAGAUGAAGAUUUAUAGGGAUAGAUCUAAAAGGUUACUUGGAUUGUCCCAAUCUACGUACAUAGAUACCGUGUUGAAAUGGUUCAGCAUGGAGAAUUUCAAGAAAAGAUAUCUUUCGAUAGGUCAUGGAAUUAUUUUUUCUAAGAAUGAUUGUCCGAUAACUCCACAAGAGAGAGAGCAUAUAAGUAGAAUUUUCAUAUGCUUCGGCAGUGGGAUCUGUCAUGUACACCAUGAUAUAUACGAGGUAGGAUGUGGCAUACUCAUUAGGGAUAGUGAGUAGGUACUAGUUUGAUCCAGAUGAGAAUCAUUGGAAGGUUGUAAAGAUAAUCCUUAAGUAUUUGAGAAAUACCAAGGAUCAAUGGUUUUAUCUAUGGAGACAUUGACUUGAAACUUGUGGGAUAUAUUGAUUCCAGCUUUCAGUUAGAUCAUGAUGAUAGUAAGAGCGUGUCGGGUUAUGUGUUUAUCCUGAAUGAAGGAGCGAUCUGCUGGAAAAGUUCCAAACAGCACACUGUAGCUGACUCAACUUGCGAGGUCGAAUAUAUCGCGGCAUCUGAUGCUACGAAAGAAGUUGUCAGAUUGUGGAAGUUCAUCAGCAAGCUUGGAGUAGCACCCUCCCUUGAUAGUCCUGUUCUGCUAUACUACGACAGCACUGGAGCCAUAGCUCAAGCGAAAGAAUCGAGGUUCCAUCAGCACAUCAAGCAUAUUCUGUGCUGCUAUCAUCUGAUCUGAGAGAUCAUGGAUCGAGGUAACGUCGAGUUUCAGAAGAUCGACGGAAAGGAGAACUUGGCUGGCCCAUUUACUAAAAUUUUUGAAAUCAAAGAGUUCGACGAACUCAAAUAGAAGAUGGGUAUUAGAUACUGUACCAAUUGAUUUAAGUCCAAGUGGGAGUUGUUAGGAAAUAUGUUCUAAAGCCAAUCGUUUGGACGAUUGUGUUCUUUGUAAUUGUAUAUGAAUUAUGAAAUAAUAAAAGUUAUUUGACAUUUUUCAUCACAAGGUGUACAUCUUUCUUAUUAAAAUUUUUGUAUUGUGAUGAAGUCCUUAGAACUAUAUGACAAACGAUAAAGGAGGAUUUAUCGAAUAGUUCUUAAACAUAUUCACGAUCAAAUGAUACGUCGUUAAAGGACGAUGACAUUAAUCGAGUGUCGGUCGUUGUGUGCCAUAUAGGUUGGUUGUCUUCUUAAUCAAGGAGUGUGGAGAUAGUGGUAUGGCAUACAGGUAAGAUAUAGGAGUACAUCGUCAUUGAACAAGUGACUCAUCUGCAGAGCGCUCUACUGUCAAGAGCAGCUCGCGAAGCGUAUGGGCAUAAGUGUCCCUUAGAUCUGAGAUCACCAUAGUGACUUGCAAGCAACUCAUUGUGCUUUAGUACCAGACUACCUGCAUUUCUAAUGUAGUUACGGAAGGCUAUUGGGUACAGUCAAGUACUUACAAAGUCUGUAUGUGGAUCAAGAUGGGAUUGAUCCUUCCGGAUUACAGGAGUUAAUGCAUCACUGUAUCUCAAUUUAGUAAACUUUGGGCCCGGAUAAUUCAUGUGAUGGAUGUGAAAGGUUGAAAUAUAAUAUGGAUGACUCAUCCAGGGUUGACAGUUAAAUCCUAGGUCAUCUUUGAGCAUUCAGAGUUAAAGGGAUGAAUUAUGCGGUAACCAUAUGCAUAGGUUCUUGAAUAUUGCCUUGCAAAUAUUCGAACUAUCCGGAUGUUGGGAAUCAUUGCUAGAUGGUAACUUCGAUUAGUACAGAAAAUGGUUUCUAUGCUACCUUCUUAGUGUUCGAACUUAUGGAGUCACGCACAAAGUCAAGCGACGUAGAAAAGAAUUGACCUAAGUCUAUGAGUUUAAUUUGGAAGUACCUGAUUUGAUUGAACAAAUAGAUUAGCUUAAUUGAGAAUUAAGUUAAGGAUCAUACAGGAUUAAACAAGUUGACUAUGUCUAGCUAGUACUGGAUAUGAGGUUUAGGUUUAAUUUCGGAGAUGAUGAUGAUCUGAUCAAUGAUCCAAGAGAUUUUUAAGAGAUUGAAUUUAUGUCCUAAUUAAUGUCAGAUUUGAUCUGAUUUAAUUAAGGAUUGCUAGGCUUUUCGAAUCUGGUUCGAAUUGGAUUCAAAACGAGUCAAAUCUGAGCGCAUUUGGUUUAGAAUCAAAAAGUCCCAAAUACCUAGGACUCUUUCUCAUAAAAUGGUCGACCAUAAGGGAGAGGAGCGCUGAUUUUUCCGCUCCAUAUGGGGGCGUGUGUGGAGGGUGUUUCGUGAAGAGUUUUGGGUGCUAUCCUUUCUCACGUAGGAUUCCUACUUGGAUAUGGUUAGGACCAAUUCGAAGUUGGUUUGAGUUCAAGUCCUAAAUCAAAUAGAUUUUGAUCAGAUGUAAGAUGCCUCACCUAUUUAAAGGGAAGAACCUAACUAACAGGUGAUUAAGAAAAAAUUGUGCGACAAAAUAAUUUCCACAUCACCGUGAGAUAGAAGGGUGUGUGCGACAACAGAAGAGAGGGCAUCUCUUCUUUCUUGGCAUGGGGAAUUCAAGGCGUCAUCUUUAUUGGCGUGUGGACUCCCAUCCAAGAUCUCAUCCACCAGUGAGAUUAGAUCUCCUCCUUCCCUUGAUCCCUUCUGAAGGAUUGGUGCAAGGAAGAUCAUCCCGCUUUCUUGCGAAGCUUGGCAUGCGUGCGAAGUAGAGGGUCCGUACGUUCAGGCCUCGCAGGGUAUUGGAUUUGAAAAUCCCUUGGAGAUUUUGAUUUCUAUUCCCCUGCAUAUCAGGUAACAUAAAAUUUAUGUUAGCUUAUUAUAGAAAAAUUUUUCAAAUGCACCCGGACGAUCCGAUCAGAUUGGACGAAUUUUCCCUUCAUCCAUCUCCUUCUCUCCCUUCCUCUCUCUCUCCCUCUCUUCCUCUCUUUUCUUCUCUCUUGCUUCGUUUUUGUUGGCAUUUUGAAUCGAAUGCUUGAAUCGCAUCGGUUGGCCAUCGGUAUGGUUUGGCACACUCCGAACCGUCUGGUUCGGGGUGGUUCGGCAUUUCAUGGUGGUAAGGCUGCAUACGUAUGACCCUUCAAAGACCUUGCAAUGGUGGGAGCCUCAUGCACUGGGAUGCCCAUUUUAGACUCACUUUUCCACUUGUUUGGGAUACAAAUUAAGUCAGAUUUUUAACCACAUUGUUUUAGGAAGCACUCAAUAACAUAGAAACCAUUAUAAUGGUAUUGGAGGCCUCCGCUGGUUUAGGAGCUUUAGAUGGAAAUUUGUCUUAGGUGUUCAUCAUGUAAGUCAGGUAUAAGGGGGUAAACAGUCUAAAAAAUAUACUUUUUUGAUUGCAUGGUUGUGAUUAUGUUGGAUGGGUCAAUUGUGGUCCACAUCACCAUAGCUAGGAGGAAGGGAUGGAGAGAAAGAUGCUCAAAAACAUGAAGGUUAAGAUCACAUAUUACCAUUUGCCUUUAGAGGUCCAUAUUACUGUCAUGUGCCUCUAGAGGUCCAUGUUACCAUAGCUAGGAGGAAGGUGUAGAGAUAAAGAGAUGCUCGAAAGUAUCAAGGUGAAUGUCACAAUAGUAAGCUUGGUGUUUUAUGUUCUUAUAUGAGUUUGAAUCUUGAUGCUCAACUAGAAGUAUUAAUACAUUGAUUUUCACUAUAUAAAUGACUACUUAUCUAUAGAUGGUGAGCUUUGGCGCAACGGUAAGGUUGUUUAAUUAUGACCUGGGUGUCAUGGGUUUAAAAUACGGAAAUAGCCUUUCUGCACUCAAGGGUAAGUUUGUGUACUUCUAACCCUUCUCAGACCUUGUAGUGGUGGAGCCUCGGUCACCUUUUACUAAAUGAUUAUUUAUCUGUCCUUUUCUUUAUUUCUUUUCCUAUAAUUUUGCAUUUCAUAUUGAUAAUUUCAUACCUUAAGAAUGAGAUUUCAUUCUAAGGUGAGUCACAAGUUGAAAGACUUGGGAUAUCUCCAAAACCUGCACUUUUAUAUUGACAUUAACCUUGUGUUACUUGUAUAUCCCUAAGGAGUUCAUUGAAAUAGUUGUUAUGUUAUUACCUAUAUAUCAUGGGUAUUUAAUUAAUCGAUGUAAUUUAGUUGUUAUCUGGACAUAAUUACUGUCAGUAACACAAAUAUAAUUUCAAAUUUUUAUAUCAACACAAAAUAGUUUUUUAUUUUGUGAAUAGUGUAAUGCUGCUGUUUUUUUUUAUGGCUAUUAUUAAUGAUAGCCAUUAUAACAGCAGUUAAUCUGGUCCAACAUAAACCUAUUCCAAGGCUAGACUCUGCAAAUAACAGCCAUUAUAUUGGUUGUAACUGUAAAUAAUGGUUUUGUGACAUGGGGAUCAUGCCUAGUUGUGAAGUAUUCUUGUGACCUCACUUUUUUGAUUUUUUUAAUACUAGCCUUAUAAAUAUGCUGCAGCAUUACCUAAUGUACAUGAAUGUCUGAAACAUGAAGUUUAAAAAUUUGGGAUGCCGUCCAUAUAUGUUAUUGACAUUCAACUGUGGAGAAUAAAUGCAGUCUGUUACUCAAGUUGAAAUGAAUCAUGACUUUGCUAAUAGACUACAUUAAAAUUUAUAUAACCUUUCCAGCUUCCAGCUUCCAGUUUCCAGUUUCUAUUUUCUUGCAUUUUAUGAGGAACAUAUAAAUUUUAGAAUAUGCACACUUUUUGAGGGUUCUGCUUGUUCAUUGCUGAUAUUCUUCCAUUUGUAUGAAUUUUAGAUUCUGAGUUCCAUAAUGAACAUUCUCCUCUACUUAAUGCUAUUAACUUAGUAACUUCAUUUUCUUAUAUCUCUACUUUCUUAACCAGGGAGAAGAUUCCACUAGCGAUUCCGAUGACUUAGGUAUGUAUCUGAGUCUGAUCACUUUAGUAGUUUUAGAGAUAUUAGCAGGCUGCUGUUCCUAAUAGUCGUUAGGCUUACUGUCUUUCUUUUAUUGAUUUUGUUGAUUGUGUCAAGUAUCAUACUGCAUACAAGAUAAGAAAUAUGCUUGCCGCAUACAAGCAAACUCAUAAUUAUAUGAGAGCUAUGGAGCAUGGACAUGGAUAAUCAAUUAGUGGAUAUAGCAUGUAUAUCACAAGAUACAAAUUUGCCAAUAUGAAAAAAAGGACAUUAUAUGGAUGUGAUAUGGAAAUUAAAUAAAUAAGUAUAUAUUUUUUAUGUAAUAUAAAGAAACAUCCCUAAGUAAAUUAUGACAACACAUAGCCCAUAGUCUAAAUGGUAACAUCAACAUCAGACAGCUCUGCUAUUUAAUCAUUAUUCAAAUCAUUAGACCACAAUCUAUACUCGACAACAAUAUCAAAGUCCCACACUCUAAAUUUACAUCCAUCAUUAAAAGGGCAGUAUUCAUUAAAGAAAGAAGAAACAACAUCCCACGUCAUACAAAAUUUUUAAACGAAAAAGUGGAACUAUAGACAUUAAAUGCGCAUUGGAAAGCAGUGGCUACGUAGAUCAAUCACAUAAAGCGGUGCGCUCCACGUCGGAUUUUUUACACCGCCCGCGGUGCACAAAGAAUUUCUCCAAAUCCUAAAGCUUCUGAAUAUUCAUUUUUUUUUUCUUAUUUAAGAGGGUACUCCCAACAUGGUCUAUUUCUAUGGUGACCAUUAUUUAAGUGUAUAUCCACUUCACUUGGUCUUACUCUCAGCAACAAUGCACCAUCAGUCUUACUGUCCAUAUAACACUCUAUUAUUGGAAUAUCUUUGGCAUGUUAGAAACUCCGUUACAGCCCUUUAUAAGGGGGCCCUCUUGAAAUUUGAAAUUUGAAAUGUCAAUAUUUCUGAAGGAACCGAAACAUAGAAUAUUAUUGAUCUCUUUGAGAAAAUCCCGAACAUUCUUCAGUUAAUCAUAAACACUGUAAACUGUAAGGAUUGAAAAUGUCUCCAUCCAUGGAUAUCAAACAGCUUAUAAUUGAACUGAUGAUGGGCUGCAUUGGUGCCAUAUGCCGUGCUUUAAGUUGCUGAAUUUAUGCAUCCAAUUCUUGAUGCUCGUGUCCCCAUUUACCAUCAGUUGCUGUCCAUUGCUAUCAUAAUUAUAUCAAAUACAACUAUAUAUUGAUUUUCUAUUUAAAAUAUUAAUUCCAGAUAUUUUUGUUUAUAAUUUUGUGUUUUAUUGGAAUUUAUUUCUUUAUUCUCCAUUUAUAGACAAUAGCAGUUGCAAACAUUGUUUAGUUUUGGCUGUUUGUUUUCACUCUUAUUGUUCAUCCUUUUUAUGUAAAAUAGGGGCCAUAUCCUGUGUAAUCCUACCCUUUCCGAAAUCCUUUUGCAUGUCCCCUGUUCACGUAUGUAUGGCUCAAAUCUUUUUUCAGACUGUUCUAUAUGAAUUUUACAUCAUAGAACAGGACUAAUUGUGGGGCUUAUGUUGCAUAUGAUGUUUCAUUAACUGAUUCUCUGCCUCCUUAUUCUCCUUCGAUAGAGUCUCAAGUUUUUCUUUAUAUAUAUAUAUAUAUAUUAUGUUCACCUAAUUUGUACCCCAUAUCUAACUCCCAUGCCUUCUACCUCAUCCCACAUAUGUGCCGUCGCAUAACAUGAUGAGAUAUUUUAUCACUCAAAGCGCAUAAUGUAAUUUAACCAAUGAUUGUCACCCUUAGGUUUCCUGGAUGACUCUGUCAUCCAUGUGCCCAGACUGCUAGCUCAGAAACACUAUCCAAUUAUUAGAGGAUUGGUAUUGGUUAAAUUUGGUCAUUCACACCUCCAGUUUAAGUUCCCUGUCAAAGCAAGUUCCUAAAUCUUUCUUCCUUUGUCUUUAUUUAUUUAUUUUUUAAAAAAAAUAUGAUUUUGUUAUUGUAUCCACCUCCUUUAAACCUGUUCAUGCAAAAGGAAACCUUAUUCCUUGAUGAAGCACCACCUGGUCUUUUGUCGGACAAACAAUGCCAUCUUAAUUAAUUUUUCCUUUCCUGUGCUUUUUAUACACCUAAAAAUUGUGUCUCCUGAAACUUAAUCAUGCAUUCGCUUCAACAUCCUUACUUCACUAUGCUCAUUUUAUGUGUUUGUCUCUUCUUAUUGACAUUUUAACAUCUAUAAAAUUAUGACCUUGUUGCAGUAUACUCAGCGUUGUGAGAUGAUCAUCAACAAUACAGCAUAUCCAAUUUAAAUUGGCCUACAAUUCUUUGACAAUAUGUUAAUGUUUCAUUUUCUUUUUGAAUUACAUAAGCAGGAAAAUGGAAGUUGAUACUUUAGAUGCUUCUACAGUCCUACUUAUGAUGAUUAGUGAAGUCAUGUGGAUGCUAAUAUUUCAAUCAUGUCUCAUAGGAUGUUAACUAAUUGCUGAAGUCCUAUGCUAAUGAGUGGUAGCAGUAGCCUGUUUGUAUCUCUCUAAUUGCAGAAGGCGGCUUCCUGAAACCUUUCUGUUGUAUAAAUUAUUGCUCUAGCAUAUCUUCAUCUGUUAGUUCAGCACCAAACACUGGCGUAGAGCUGCAAGAGAUUCAGAAGCAAAUCAAAAAAUGCUUAUCACCAGGAAUAGUGUGGGUGCAUCUUGUAGGUCCUACAAUCCAUCUUCCCUCAGCUUGUCUGCUGCUGCAUGUGAGACUGAUGCACUCUCCUCUAAUAAGUUGAAGGAAAAAUAUGCGUCUUCUGCUUUUAAUACCAAGCCUGGUUCCCCAUCAACUUAGUUCAACAGCAAAUGGGGUGUAUAUGGAAAAGUCUGCAGACUUGAUAGGCAACGCAUGGUAGAUGAAGUACAUCUUCACAGAUUUGAUGGCCUACUGGUAACUCAUUUAUCUUACAUGGAUAACCCCUGCAAUUCGUGUUCAUAGGAAACAUGUAUCGUUUCUUAGUUUUUCUGAUGGUAUGGUUUGCAUGAAGGAAAAUGGAGGGGCUCAUCAAUGUGUUAUUGCUAGCAUCACGGUCAAGGCAUCAAUUCAAGAAGUAUGGAAUGUGUUGACCACCUACGAGGCAUUGCCCAAGUACUCAUUUUCUUCUUUAUGCUUCCUUUUGUUGUUGUGGAAGAGUUCUACUUCUAUCAUUCAAAAAUUAAAAGUAUGCUUUUGUUUUUAUUUGUCAGUUUACUUAGUGUAACUGCGUAACUUUACACAUUAACUAAUGCAAACUUCUUCCACGAUAUCAUGAUAUCAGGAACUGCUGAUCCCCUGAGAGUCUCCUUUUUAAAAAAUUAAAAAGUAGUGUUGUUACAAGAUUUUUGUCCCAAACAUGCAGCAAAGAAAUAUCAUGCUUCUGUAAAUGCUUGUAUCUGUUGCUUGUAUUUUAUGCACCCGAUAAUUUAUUUUAACUAAUUGCUAAGUGCUAAUGCAUUCCCUUUAUUAAGUUUAUUCAUUCUCCUGUACUAUUUAGUAUAAACUUGUUCCUAACGAUUUUUUUCCUUCACAGGAUUGUCCCAAAUUUGGCUAUCAGUAAAAUCCUGUGUUGAGAUAAUAAUAAGGUUCGCAUUCUACAGGUAUGGUGUAGAAGAUCUUACAGAAUGCUAUAAUCAUUUUAAUGACCUUUUACUUUGAUGCAUUGAUUUUCCUCUCUUCGAUCACUGAAGCUGCUACAGUCGUCAAAUUUGAAGUGAUUUCUCUCCUUCAAUAUCUCGUGUAUAAUCUUACUUAUAGACACAUAUGUUUUGUCUGCUUUGGUCUUCAUUAACUUGCAAUGGAACCAACAGCUAAAUCUGUAUUGAUAGAACUAAUGAAAAGCUAGAUGAUAUAAAGGUGUACAUUUCCCAUUUUUAUGCCAAAAUUGAUGGAAUGACCAAGCAAUUAACAACGGGCAAGUCCUUGCUUUGCCAAUCAACGAUCAAAUGGGUUGACUUUUCCAGUUGGACCAUUUAAUAAGUCUUUUUUAGUUUUAUAAAAAAAUGCUUUAAUAAAGAGGAGUUCCCAUUCACUGUUGGAUUGAAUAUUGGUGGGUAGGUUUGUUUGACCAAUUGAGUCGAUAACUCAUGUAGUUUAAAACAAUUCAUAAGGUGACUAAAAUAAAAGCUACAAUUUAUGAAGAUUACUGAAAGUUAAAGUACAUUACAGAAGAUAACUAAGGAUAAAGAUAAAAUGCCCACCUACUAAUCACUUUCUAAUGUAAAUACUUCCUAACCCAAUCUUCAUGUGCCACAUUUGUAUCUUCACAACUACUUUUCUAUGUCAUCUCAAUGUGCCACAUACUUUUCCUCACAAAUUCCUGCAAAAUCAUUAAAAAAGAAAAAUGAAACUUUUGUUUAGCUUUAUAAUCAAAUCAAACCAAAUCAAAUUGUCAGCCAAGGUUUUGAAUUAUUCAUCCAUGUAUAAUUGAUGGUCUUGAUUUUCAUGCAACCAUAUCAACUGCAAUUUAUCUAUUUGACUUUGGUUUUCAAUUACAAAAUCAACCCAUUGGUCAGAUCUUUAGUUGAUUGGCCAUGUUUCCAUCCUGCAACCAUGAUCUUGGUUGAUAAAUAAUGAGUGGGAUCCAUUAGACAUAAAACCCCUUUUGAAUUUUAUCUUAAAAUAGAUCAAUUAUCAAUCAUCAUUAUAACUAAUGAUGCUGAUUAGAGUACCACCAUAAGAGAUCAUAUAAGAUCCAAAAAAAAGGUGUAAUAAAGUACUGACCUUAAAAGCUAUGUUUUUAAUAAUGAUCCGCUGUUAAUUUGUUCUUCUUACUCACCAGCAGACUAUGAUGUUGUUGGCUGUGCCCUCCUUUGCUGGCAAAAGGAAAAAUGGAACACAAACUUUCCACCUUUAUUGCCUAACCAAUAGAUAAGUUUUACUUCCAAGGCAAGGUUUCUCUCCUUUUUUGACCUUAAAGUUCCUAUCUGUAAGUAUGGAGGCGUGAUCAUCUCCAAAACUUAUUUCGAAUUCUACAGCAUGUACCCAUGUUCGCUUGCUAACCACUUUGCUAAUGUAAUCACUGCAUGCCACAUAGUUAUGACCUUGUUCAAACUGCGAGCAUCAUGUCUUUCUCCAUAGUUACUGUCCUAUCUAAUCUCCAUGUUCCACAUGUCCUCCAUAACAUCUAGUGAAAUAAUGUGGUUAAUAGUUUUUAUAGUAAGACUAUCAUGCUAAUUGCAUAGUGACUUGCUUUAUAAGCAUUGAUGCUGGGAAUAAUAUAUAAUGUUGCAGUUUGAUGCUUUGCCUGUCAGAAUCCUCUCUCUUUCUCAUAUUAUGUCAGGAUGAUGUAAUCUUCAUUUAUGAAUACUUUAUCUUCAUGAAAUUUCUGGACUACGUCCUCUGGUAUGUCAGCUCAAUUAGCAAUUACAGUUUUUGAGAAGAAGAAAAAGAAAAAUUCAUUAUUUUUUGUUUUACAGGGGGGUUGCAAGGGCCUAUUAUAUAUGGUUCUUCAAGCACGUGUUGUUUUGGAUUUGCAUGAAGAACUUGAAUUAGCUUUGAGCAAGUUGAAGGGGUUGCGCUUGUGAGGAGCUAGGGACUUGGAAAUUGGUUUCUUUGACCCCCUAUGAAAGGCUGUGUGUGACACGAAUGGUUCUAUUUUUUUCCCAAUGGCGUUGUAAUAUAGUGGUACUGCCCUAUGAAUUUAUAGAGAAGGAAAGAAAGGAAAAAAGGCAGCUUUGUUUUGGUUUUGGUAAAUUAUUGGAACACAACAUACAGCAAAUAGUUCAACGCUAUAUAACAAGUCCAAAAAGGUGUUAAGCAGUCCUUUUGUUCACUUGGUUGUAUGCCAGUUUGUUGCAAGUAAUCUACAGGCAGCCAGUUGCAGAGGUUUGAUUGCGAAUCACUUAGAUGCAGGCAGUUGAGUACUAACUUUUUCUGGUCCUUCAAACAGCUCCUUUUAUGCAAAUGCACAUAUUUGUUGCGCUUGCUGUGCACAUUCAUGGGGUCGGUUGCAUAUUUAAAUCCAAGGCAAAAUUGUCCAAAAAUUUGAACUUGGUCAUUUCUGUGUAAAAAACAACGAAUAGAAGAAGUCCAAAUUUGCAAAUUCAAAAAUAAAGUGGGCCUUCAUCAAAAUAAAUAAAUAAAUAAAGUGGGCCUUCUCUGCAAAGUUCUCCUGUUUCUUUGAAUCUUUAGCAUCUAGAAAACAAAAUGACACUACAAACUGAUGGUUGCCCGACGCCGAAAUUCAUUCCCAUAUAUCUAUUUCGGUUCUUGUCGAUUAAACUAUUAGUGCUGACUUUGUAAAUGACCUGUUUUCCAUGCAGAUAAGAUGAUUCCAGAAGAACUGGGGAAUGGAUCCUGCUUACAUGCCCAGUAGGAAAUCUUUCGAGCGUGCAGGUGAGGGACAACUGCUGUAUUCUUUAAAAUACUACUUAAUCUUGCUCGGAUGGACCUAUACAGCUGUCGAACUGAUGCUAGAUGGCUGUAAUGGUAAAGGCCGGACAGAAGCCAUGUUCUGGCAGUAAAUUUACUUCAGUUCAUGCCCAACCUUGGAGCACUAGUGUUGGAAGCAGGCAAGCCUUGGAGCCAGCUACUGCAGCCAGUUCGGAAUGCUUGCAUUUUUAACACCUGAACAAAUUUAGGAUCCUUGGAGCCCUAGGAUGUCCUUAGGAGGUGAGAGUAUGGUUUGCAUGCAUGAUGCGAUCGAACUAUUAGAUCUUCAAGAUUCUCAAAGGGUUUCCUGAAUUGAUGCAAGUCAUGGUCUAAAUAAAACGGCGUAGCAUCAAAAGAACUGUUUGGUUCUUUUGAACUGCGAAACCUAAUCUUGCACUGAGUUUUAUAAGGUGGUAUCAUUUUGAAGUCAAGUAUUUCUUAAAAAAUCAUAUACCAAAGCAAAUUCAAAAGAAGCUUCUACUUAGCAUCACGUGCAAUUUGGCGUGCUAAUCUAAAUGGGAAUGCAAGUUGGGACAAAUGCAGGAUUAUGGAUGCAAAUAUAUGUGCAUUAAUAUCGAUAUGAACAUUCACAGCAUAUAUCCAUUGGUGAAUGCAUGAAUUUUUAUAAGUUGGGUUUUUUACUAAAUCAUGUAAUUAUUUCAAUAACUGUGUCAAGCUAUGUUAGUCCUCUUCUUUGCUCCUUUCUGAUAGCAGGAUGGUUGAGUCCACAUUCUAAAUACCAACUCCUUCAAGUCAAACAUGGACAACCCCAGUAUUUAGCAAAAGCAGUAACGAUGAGACAAUUUACUGUUCAUCUACCACUUCAGUCACAUCUGAAGGCUCCUUCUCAGCAUGAUCGAUUAAAGAUAUAAUGAUAUCAACCAAUGCCAACCCUUUUUCCGACAAAGGAGGAGCUAAGUAGAGGCAGUGGGCCAUCCGAAAGAGUGGUUCAGGUGACUGCAUGAUCAGCUAAAGAUAUAUAAUGUCACUCGGAUUCUCUAUCAUCUGAGACAUUAAUCAUAUACAAGAAUGAAUCAGUAUCAUAGAUGACUAAUAUUUACAAACGAAAACAAGAACAAAUUCAAAAAUUAUUAAUUGAACUCAUUGCCAAGCCCUAACUGUAAGGCACGAAAGCAUCAUGAUUAGUCUCUUUUUUUAGAUGAAAUAAGCAAGCAUGCACGUAGAAUAGCACUCCGGAUAAAGUUGUCAUUUGAUAUUGCCUUUCAUGCUUGGUUCAAGCAAAACAACUGAAAGUUGGCAAUAAGUUGGUGAUGUUAUAGCGUAUUGAUUACAUAGAAAUGUAGGUGCCUCUUUUCCUAUUUUUUUUUUGGGAAACAAUUAUAACGAACGGAAUGGAGAAAGUCCCUAUAUAUCCAAUGAACUUUGCCUUUUUUGAAAACAAGAAAAUCAGAUAUUGUAUGGAUGCAUUGCAGAAAGACCAAGACAACGGAAUAAUUUCUCAGGGUAACCGAUGUUGUACAAUACAAAAAUAUGUAUAUGGAAAUGGACAAAAAGAGUGAUCAGUUUUGACCACCUUAGUUGAGACAGGUUAUGCAUUAUAGAGACCAAGGUCAUGUUCAGUGAUGCCCAUGGCCUUGAACAAGAAAAGUAAUCCAAAGUUUUGAUAAUAAGCAAUCAGUUAUGACGAAGAAAUAUGGCUAGAAAAUGAUAAAACAACUAGGGACGGCAAUAGAACAGAUAUAAAUCGGGUUGGCCUAAACCCAUACCUAAGUAAAAAUCCUAUACUCAUAUCUACCCUAUGUCCGCCUCAAGUCAAAUUAAGUAAAGAUAUAGGUCAGAUUGGAUCAGCUACAUGUAAAUAAUAUAAAAUUAUAAUUUUGAAUAGGAGACAUAUAUUAAAGUUUUAUUAGGUCGGAUCCAAAUCGGGGCAUACCAUUUCCGGUACCUGAUCUGAAUUUGUUUCAGAUAUUUUUUCUAGAAUCCAUACAUAUUCUGGGUUCCUAUCGGGUCGGAUAUCCGGUGGGUCGACUAAAAUUGUCAUCUUUAAAAAUAAGGUGACGAUUUCUGACACAACUAUAUAGCUAUGAGACAAUUAAAACGAAGUUAUUUCUAUUGUUUUCCUUCUUCCUUUUUAUUCUUCUACUUUUUUGUGUGUGUGAUGGCAUAGAAACAACUAUACAUGUGUUCCAAUACUUAUGAGGACCUUGGCCUUACAAUGUGUCUGACGUUUGGAAGGGAAGAACAAAUGCCUAGGGUAGAAUUACUAUAUAUGGUCUCUUCUAACAUAGAACUAAGAGAGAUGUAUUGAAAAUUUUCUGAAAACCAUGUUCAUUUUUAAUCCCUAAGGUGACAUUUUAGAAGAUUGCAGCACAAACCGGAAAAGGCAAAAUAUGGUCAGGAAAGUCUUAGCAGGGGGAAUGUGGAGUUAAUUCGGUUCUUCUGAGACAAGGCCAAGUGGGUUGGAGACCUUACUAAUGUGAUAGAACAAUAGAUUGCCAUGAAGAAUACCACUAUCUAAGGGAAGUUAAUCUUCAAUAUUGUUUAAGGGUUGGAGUAGAGCAAUACAUAUAAAUAACAAGAGGUGAAGAUAGCCUUGAGGCAGCCAGUUCCAUAUCUGGUUGCAGUUUGUAGCUAUGUUUUGCUAGAAGCUCCUCUAGAUAUAAGAACAACCAUUGAUUUUACAGUGCUUAAGUAUAUUUGUUUCAUGGCCUUCUUGAAGCUUUUCCUUUUUGUUAGUUGAAAACCUUAAUAAGAUAAUUAUGCCUUCAGACAAACAUUACAUUACAAUGAUUACACGCAUAAACUUUUCCAAAGCAAAUUGGUAGCUGACAGGGAACUAAAGAUGUUGUCACCAAGGCUCGGGGAAGAAAGAAAUACUGGCAGCUCAUAAAUAUUCAAUUUUAUUACUUGUCCCAGUCAAUUAUAACGUAAUUUACAUUCAAUUAUCAUCAUAUUUCAAGUCAUGGAAGAGUAGUCUAAUAUCUUCUAUAUAAGCAAUUCAUGGUUGCUUACUGCGUUAUCAUGAGCAACCUCACACUUCUUAACUAUGUUGCCUAAAGCCAGGGCCAGUUAUUUUUGAAUUUCGGUCAAUAGCAAUAAAUGAUAUAGGAGGUUUUGAGUAGAAAUGUUCUUUAUAAAUUCCAUUUUGAAAAUAUUUUAGGUCAGAAAAUUCUAGUUUUUUACUUUAACACAUCUUAAUAGCCUUCCAAUAAAAGUAAAUGGGAUGGCAUUUUUCUAGAGUGAAAUUAUCAAAGAAAGUGUUUCUCUUUUUAUUUUUUCCUUUUUCUUCAUUUCAGGUUAACAUGAAAGAAAAUUAGAGCCCAGAUUACCCCAAUAGAUGUAAUUUGACUUGACAAAUUAUAAAGUUCAUGACCCUCUCCACAGAAGUUAAGAUCCAAAAUCUGUUGAGGAUCCAAGUAACAGAUCCCUAGAAAAUGUUUUCCUCCGUAUUUCUUCAUUCUGAAUUUACUUUUCCAAUCAAAUUGACUUCCCUAGUUAUAUUUAACCACAAAAAGACUCAAAUUCUUCCGUUCCCUCUUCCCUUUGCAGCAACUAAGUCUAAAUCUAUUCCAUACCCAGAUCUCAUCCAUCCAAACAUCAAGAAAAAGACUCUAAGAACCCGAAAAAUUGUAGCUUUAGCGGAUCAGAUCAAAUCCUCAAAAAAGAACUCCAUAAAAAAAAAAAAUGCAUGGCAUGUUAUUGAAUACAUAUGAGAGUAAAUAAACUAACAACAUAGUUGAAAGUUAUUGUACAAAACCAAGAUAAACCAAGUGAGGCUCAAUAAAAUGAUCAAUAUAAUGUCUAAACAACAAAAUCUAUUUUUACAAUCUGAUGUCAAUGGUGAUGCAUAUUCCAGCAUGAACCUUGUCUACAAGAACUUCAGCUCAACCCUUCAUAUAGGUCUCAAUGCUUAAACUAAACAAUAAACCAACAAUUUCAUUAAAACAUUGUGUACAGAACCAAGAGAAACCAAGUGACACUCAAUAACAAGAUUCAUAACGUGUCUAAAGAACAAAGUCUUUUCCCAUUCUGAUGUCAAUAAUAAGUAUUGUAAGUUUGUAACACAUGUUCCAGAUUGAAACCUGAUACGCAUAGAACUUCAGCUCAACCUUGCAUAUAGUUCACAAUGCUUAAACUAAGCAAUAAAACAGAGGUGAGUCUGACAAGCUUUGAUGAGAAGAAUGCCUCGGUUUAUGACGCAGAGGUAGUGCAGUUGUUGAUUAUUGCUAGCACACAGAUCACUUAUGCUGAUAGAAACUCUCUUAAACAUGUAUAAAACUGACAGAGGGACUGAAAAGAUAAAAAAAGAAAAAUGAUAGAGAGAUCUUUCAGAUAAACUUGGUAGCUCAGUAUCAACCAGUAUCACAUAUUAUUAUGCCUCUUAACAACAACUAACAUGGGACUGGAAUUUCAAGGAAUCUCUACUGGGGGAAGUAUGAUCGGAGUCCAUUACAUUCAACAAAAUAUUCAAUAAUUUCAUACUAGAUUUACUAAACUUUGAAUGGCAUAUUGGUUCCAGUUGGCUGGCAAAAAUGCAAGUUUGACUACCAACGUGGAUAAAUAGCAUCAACUAAAAAUCUUUCAAGUAACCUCACCCAUAAUUGAUGCUGGUUAACAGAGCAAGCAGACCAAACAACUGAAACUACGAUCAGGUGGAAUAUGGCACCACAAAAUUUUCUUUUGCUUUUGCAAAACACUGCCUAAGUUCGAAUAACUUGAGGCAUGGAAAUCUGAAUAAUUAUCACCGAGUCCAUCACUAUCAGCAAAUUCAUAAUAUAUUUUUUGGAUGCCUCAAACCAAGAAGGAAAAAGAAAAUUCAAGUUCUUUUCUAGGCCAACCAAAGUUUAGAUGAAUAUAAGAUGUUAGAAAUAUAAGAGAUAAAUAAGAAAUUAAGAACAUGAUAAAACAUAGAAUAAUCCUUCUAUCUUUAUAUGAACUCAAAUAAUAACAAAGGAAUUAAUUCACAAUAUACAUUACCCUUAUCUUCUGUACGCCUUCCAUCGGACCCUUUCAACGGAUCGAUACGAGGCUCUAUCGCAUGCCCAAACCAAAACCUUCUCCCCCAAGCAUGCGGCAGCAUCAGCGGCCACCACCACCUCCUCGCAGGCAAAUCAAACAUCAACACAGUAGUAUACAGAUUGUUGAAGAAACAAACAAUCCCCCUCCGUGCUACCGUUGAGAAACGAAACUGAGUGAGCCUACCAUGUCGAAAUACUCUGAAAAAUUCAUCAGGCAUGAAGCAGAUCGACCUCCAUUCUUUCUUUGGCAAAUCAAGCUCCCAAAUCCCAACCCCAGCAAUGCAUUCCAACACCUCCACGCCCCCAACCAAGAACAAUCUGUCUUCAUAAUCCAAGAUAUGAGAACAAACAACCCGCGGCAUCGCCACGUCUACGAGGUUCCAAUCGCCGCCGAUCGGAUCGAAGGUCAAUAGAUGAUCGGGCUCAUGGCUGAGGACGAACAGUAGGCCGUCCAAGAACACGGCGUUGCCGAGAUAGGAAAAUUUGCCAGGAAACUGGCCCUUGAGCUCCCACCGGCCGGAACGGGAGUCGAAGACCUGGGAGUAGAUGGGAUCGCUGGAGCUGACGGCGACGAUCUUGUAAUGGGCCGAGGGGAAUUCAUCGAUAAGAGCGAGGACGUAGGGAUAGUCGACGCUCUCCAUUGCGGGAAGGAGGACGAGGGUGGCGCCGGAGAAGAGGUUGUAGACGGCGAGGCGUCUGUGGUCGUCCAAGGCCACGAGGAGGCCGCCGUCGGAGGCGAGGGGGAAGAAGAAGGAGGGGGGAGACCGACUCUGAACCAGCGGUCGCGGGAGGGCUGGUAGGCCGCGGGGGAGUCGUGGUCGGCGAAUGGGAGGAGGUAGAGGUCGUCGGGGUGGCGGCGGAGGGAGGAGAGGAAGGUGGGUGAGCGGAUGCUGGAGCGCCAGGAACGGGAGACGUACUGGCAGCGGGCGAGGGUGGAAACGGGAAGGUNNNNNNNNNNNNNNNNNNNNGGGAGAGGAUGGAUUCUUGGAUGUCGAGAGGGAGGAGGUCCCACGGGAAGAAGGGGGCCGGGUCUUGAUCCGAUUUGGAAGAUUGCUCCAUUUCCAUUGGGUAUGCAUCGGAUUUGGAAGAUUGCUCCAUUUCGAUUGGAGGGAUCUUCGGUUGAAGGCUGCGUGGCGUUCGUUUCUACAAAUAAUCUUUCCAGGUAAUAUGUAAUAUUUAUACCAUAAAAACGAGGGAUUUUCUUUUUCUUUUUAUUUUUGAAGGGAGUAAGAAAAAUUAAAAAAUUCAAAACUAUGGCAAAUCCUAUACGAAACUUAUGAAUAUUAUACAUGUACGAGCAUCUAAUAAGCAAGUUUCUCAUAUUUUUGAGAAAGAAGAUAGGCUGCAAAUUAACGGCUAGAAUCUUGAAUAGAAUCAAUAGUAUCAAUCAAACAAAAAUUUAAAUUAAAAAUCUCCUAAUAAUAAGUUGAAUCUGUGGAUCAAUAUUGGAUCGAACAACUGGUAGGUUUAUGAUAUGUUAUUGGUUUAAGAGUAGGUUGUUUAGGCCUUUAGAAAAGUCAGUUUUAAAACUAAUUCUACUUACAUAUAUUUUGUUGCUCUCGAUCUCUGUGCCUAAGGUCGGACCUGUCGAGGUGGAGAUGUCUAAGAUGCAGUUGUUGGAGCUCCAUUCAAAAACCUACAAAAUAUCCCUAUCAGGAUAUUCUUUGGGGGAGAUCUUCUGAUGCUCAAAUCAGGAGAUGGAGAACAAUAAGAGGGAGAGAGUGGGAGUGAAAAAUUUAUUUUGAGGAUCUCUGUGUCCCUUUAUUUAUAAGAGAGA